RNAcentral lists this ribosomal RNA (2885 nucleotides) under Pseudomonas aeruginosa. Its description in RNAcentral is "23S ribosomal RNA". It matches the Rfam family "Bacterial large subunit ribosomal RNA". The record is from RNAcentral. Lineage: Bacteria; Pseudomonadati; Pseudomonadota; Gammaproteobacteria; Pseudomonadales; Pseudomonadaceae.
UCAAGUGAAGAAGCGCAUACGGUGGAUGCCUUGGCAGUCAGAGGCGAUGAAAGACGUGGUAGCCUGCGAAAAGCUUCGGGGAGUCGGCAAACAGACUUUGAUCCGGAGAUCUCUGAAUGGGGGAACCCACCUAGGAUAACCUAGGUAUCUUGUACUGAAUCCAUAGGUGCAAGAGGCGAACCAGGGGAACUGAAACAUCUAAGUACCCUGAGGAAAAGAAAUCAACCGAGAUUCCCUUAGUAGUGGCGAGCGAACGGGGAUUAGCCCUUAAGCUUCAUUGAUUUUAGCGGAACGCUCUGGAAAGUGCGGCCAUAGUGGGUGAUAGCCCCGUACGCGAAAGGAUCUUUGAAGUGAAAUCGAGUAGGACGGAGCACGAGAAACUUUGUCUGAACAUGGGGGGACCAUCCUCCAAGGCUAAAUACUACUGACUGACCGAUAGUGAACCAGUACCGUGAGGGAAAGGCGAAAAGAACCCCGGAGAGGGGAGUGAAAUAGAACCUGAAACCGUAUGCGUACAAGCAGUGGGAGCCUACUUGUUAGGUGACUGCGUACCUUUUGUAUAAUGGGUCAGCGACUUAUAUUCAGUGGCAAGCUUAACCGUAUAGGGUAGGCGUAGCGAAAGCGAGUCUUAAUAGGGCGUUUAGUCGCUGGGUAUAGACCCGAAACCGGGCGAUCUAUCCAUGAGCAGGUUGAAGGUUAGGUAACACUGACUGGAGGACCGAACCCACUCCCGUUGAAAAGGUAGGGGAUGACUUGUGGAUCGGAGUGAAAGGCUAAUCAAGCUCGGAGAUAGCUGGUUCUCCUCGAAAGCUAUUUAGGUAGCGCCUCAUGUAUCACUCUGGGGGGUAGAGCACUGUUUCGGCUAGGGGGUCAUCCCGACUUACCAAACCGAUGCAAACUCCGAAUACCCAGAAGUGCCGAGCAUGGGAGACACACGGCGGGCAACGUCCGUCGUGAAAAGGGAAACAACCCAGACCGCCAGCUAAGGUCCCAAAGUUGUGGUUAAGUGGUAAACGAUGUGGGAAGGCUUAGACAGCUAGGAGGUUGGCUUAGAAGCAGCCACCCUUUAAAGAAAGCGUAAUAGCUCACUAGUCGAGUCGGCCUGCGCGGAAGAUGUAACGGGGCUCAAACCACACACCGAAGCUGCGGGUGUCACGUAAGUGACGCGGUAGAGGAGCGUUCUGUAAGCCUGUGAAGGUGAGUUGAGAAGCUUGCUGGAGGUAUCAGAAGUGCGAAUGCUGACAUGAGUAACGACAAUGGGUGUGAAAAACACCCACGCCGAAAGACCAAGGGUUCCUGCGCAACGUUAAUCGACGCAGGGUUAGUCGGUUCCUAAGGCGAGGCUGAAAAGCGUAGUCGAUGGGAAACAGGUUAAUAUUCCUGUACUUCUGGUUACUGCGAUGGAGGGACGGAGAAGGCUAGGCCAGCUUGGCGUUGGUUGUCCAAGUUUAAGGUGGUAGGCUGAAAUCUUAGGUAAAUCCGGGGUUUCAAGGCCGAGAGCUGAUGACGAGUCGUCUUUUAGAUGACGAAGUGGUUGAUGCCAUGCUUCCAAGAAAAGCUUCUAAGCUUCAGGUAACCAGGAACCGUACCCCAAACCGACACAGGUGGUCGGGUAGAGAAUACCAAGGCGCUUGAGAGAACUCGGGUGAAGGAACUAGGCAAAAUGGCACCGUAACUUCGGGAGAAGGUGCGCCGGCUAGGGUGAAGGAUUUACUCCGUAAGCUCUGGCUGGUCGAAGAUACCAGGCCGCUGCGACUGUUUAUUAAAAACACAGCACUCUGCAAACACGAAAGUGGACGUAUAGGGUGUGACGCCUGCCCGGUGCCGGAAGGUUAAUUGAUGGGGUUAGCGCAAGCGAAGCUCUUGAUCGAAGCCCCGGUAAACGGCGGCCGUAACUAUAACGGUCCUAAGGUAGCGAAAUUCCUUGUCGGGUAAGUUCCGACCUGCACGAAUGGCGUAACGAUGGCGGCGCUGUCUCCACCCGAGACUCAGUGAAAUUGAAAUCGCUGUGAAGAUGCAGUGUAUCCGCGGCUAGACGGAAAGACCCCGUGAACCUUUACUGUAGCUUUGCACUGGACUUUGAGCCUGCUUGUGUAGGAUAGGUGGGAGGCUUUGAAGCGUGGACGCCAGUUCGCGUGGAGCCAUCCUUGAAAUACCACCCUGGCAUGCUUGAGGUUCUAACUCUGGUCCGUGAUCCGGAUCGAGGACAGUGUAUGGUGGGCAGUUUGACUGGGGCGGUCUCCUCCUAAAGAGUAACGGAGGAGUACGAAGGUGCGCUCAGACCGGUCGGAAAUCGGUCGUAGAGUAUAAAGGCAAAAGCGCGCUUGACUGCGAGACAGACACGUCGAGCAGGUACGAAAGUAGGUCUUAGUGAUCCGGUGGUUCUGUAUGGAAGGGCCAUCGCUCAACGGAUAAAAGGUACUCCGGGGAUAACAGGCUGAUACCGCCCAAGAGUUCAUAUCGACGGCGGUGUUUGGCACCUCGAUGUCGGCUCAUCACAUCCUGGGGCUGAAGCCGGUCCCAAGGGUAUGGCUGUUCGCCAUUUAAAGUGGUACGCGAGCUGGGUUUAGAACGUCGUGAGACAGUUCGGUCCCUAUCUGCCGUGGACGUUUGAGAUUUGAGAGGGGCUGCUCCUAGUACGAGAGGACCGGAGUGGACGAACCUCUGGUGUUCCGGUUGUCACGCCAGUGGCAUUGCCGGGUAGCUAUGUUCGGAAAAGAUAACCGCUGAAAGCAUCUAAGCGGGAAACUUGCCUCAAGAUGAGAUCUCACUGGGAACUUGAUUCCCCUGAAGGGCCGUCGAAGACUACGACGUUGAUAGGCUGGGUGUGUAAGCGUUGUGAGGCGUUGAGCUAACCAGUACUAAUUGCCCGUGAGGCUUGACCA